This 320-nucleotide ribosomal RNA is filed under the name uncultured Francisella sp. RNAcentral describes it as "bacterial SSU rRNA". It matches the Rfam family "Bacterial small subunit ribosomal RNA", at positions 205 to 509 of the family's 1533-position model. The record is from RNAcentral. Lineage: Bacteria; Pseudomonadati; Pseudomonadota; Gammaproteobacteria; Thiotrichales; Francisellaceae.
AGGCUGUCGCAGAUGGAUGAAGCCUGCGUUUGGAUUAGCUAGUUGGUGAGGUAAUGGCCUACCAAGGCUACGAUCCCAUAGCUGAUUUGAGAGAAUGAUCAGCCACAUUUGGGACUGAGACAGGGCCCAAAACUCCUACGGGGAGGCAGCAGUGAGGAAUAUUGGACAAUGGGGGAAACCCUGAUCCAGCAAUGGCCCAUGUGUGUGAAGAAGGCCUUAGGGGUUGUAAAAGCACUUUAGUUGGGGGAAGAAAGCUUUAAGGUUAAUAACCUUGAGGAAGGACGUUACCCAAAGAAUAAGCACCGGCUAAACUCCGUGCC